AUUACUCUGUAGACCAGGCUGGCCUCAACUCAGAGAUCUGCCUGUCUCUGCUUCCCAAGUGCUGGGAUUAAAGGUGUGCACCACCACUGCCCAAACUACUUUCUUUCUGGGAAUCAGCAUCAUUAAACGAACUUGGAGGCCUUGUGUAAGAUGGCGUGGUCCUGACUGACACCAAGUUCAAUGGCUGAGCUCCGACUUUGCCACAGAUCUUUUCUCUGAAGCGCCCCAUCACUGUGUCCUCUGUUUUGCUGGUCAGAGCUCAGAUCCCUACUUUGGCAGGAAGGACUGAAUGCCAUGGCUCUCUCUACCCUGCAGUCAGCAGGAGCACAGAUCAUGCUUCUGAUGGCAGCGUGGACUACUGACAUCCACGUGGUCUCCAGUGUCAACAUGUGCCACAGACCUCAGCAUGGUCUCCCGUAGCAGUACAGAAUGCAGAUAUCAACACAGCACUCUGCAGCAGCACAGGCCACGGACACCAUCACAACCCUCAGCAGCAGCAUGGACCACGGACAUUGGUGGUAACACAGGCCAUGGACGUCUACACCAUCCCUAGCUACAGUAAGAGGGAUCAUGGACCCAGACAAUGGCCCUCGAUGGCAACGUGGCCUUAGGGGGCUGCACAGGCCACUCACAUCAGUGUGGACCCGGUGACUAGUCUGCUCUAUAUCAUACUGUAUAUAAUAAAUGUACUGAGUAUCUGG
Molecule: non-coding RNA, 701 nt
Organism: Myodes glareolus (Bank vole)
Lineage: Eukaryota; Metazoa; Chordata; Mammalia; Rodentia; Cricetidae
Source: RefSeq, a predicted model, not a curated record